CAGCAAGAAGGCAGCAUCUAUAAGCUAGGAAGGAGGCCCUCACCAGACUUGGAAUCUGCUGGCUUCCUGAUCUUGGCCUUUCUAGCCUCCAGAACUGAUGGGUGAAAGCUGUGGAAGAAUACAGACUGACCAGGAACCCCACCCUAAGGAAGAGGUCAGCUAGUGCAUGUCCACGUGCACACACACACAUGCACACAUGUGCACAGACAUGCAGUCACACACACACAUGCACACACAUUCAAGAAAAUCUCUGGAAUCCAAACACAGCCUCUGACCAUCAGUCAUAGAAAUGAACCUCAGAGAUACCAGG
This 310-nucleotide long non-coding RNA is filed under the name Homo sapiens (human). Its description in RNAcentral is "non-protein coding LINC00331:3". Lineage: Eukaryota; Metazoa; Chordata; Mammalia; Primates; Hominidae. The record is from RNAcentral.